RNAcentral lists this ribosomal RNA (374 nucleotides) under uncultured prokaryote. RNAcentral describes it as "bacterial SSU rRNA". It matches the Rfam family "Bacterial small subunit ribosomal RNA", at positions 524 to 896 of the family's 1533-position model. The record is from RNAcentral.
UACGAGGGGUGCAAACGUUAUUCGGAAUUACUGGGUGUAAAGGGUACGUAGACGGCAUAUUAAGUCAAUUGUUAAAUUCCCCAGCUUAACUGGGGGUAGGCGGUUGAAACUAAUAAGCUAGAGGAUGAGAGAGAGAAGUGGAAUUCUCGGAGUAGCGGUAAAAUGCGUAGAUCUCGAGAGGAACACCGAUGGCGAAGGCAGCUUCUUGGCUCAUUUCUGACGUUGAGGUACGAAAGCGUGGGGAGCAAACAGGAUUAGAUACCCUGGUAGUCCACGCUGUAAACGAUGAUCACUAGACGUUGGGCUUGCUUGCAGGCUCAGUGUCGCAGCUAACGCGAUAAGUGAUCCACCUGGGGACUACGGUCGCAAGAUUA